Galleria mellonella (greater wax moth) is the source of this 3556-nucleotide long non-coding RNA. RefSeq lists it as uncharacterized. Lineage: Eukaryota; Metazoa; Arthropoda; Insecta; Lepidoptera; Pyralidae. The record is from RefSeq and is a predicted model, not a curated record. The transcript has 3 exons.
GUCUUCUUUCUAUAUUAUUUUCUAGCAGAUACUGUAUCUCAGGUAUCUCAAAUACCAUAAUACAAAUAAAGAAACAAAAAUAACCGUUUUUAUAAUACACCGAAUAGAUCUCGAUCGAAAUUCAGUGGCGCUUUAGCCGUGCAUGAACCGCAGUAGAUGAGUGGCGGUCCCCCACUGUUUAUUUUUAAAGCACUUUCUUCCACGCAGAAUCACGCCGUAAAAUUAACUUCCAGCAGCAGUAUUUUUGAAUUGAUACGACAUCGUAACCUUCAAGAAAAGAGCAUAUUGUUUUUUAAAGACCGGCAGCAAACCUGCAUGGCCUCUAGUAUUUCAGAUAGAAGCCCUUAUUUGGGUUAUCCAUCAUGGAGAGCUUACAAGGUAAUCUCAAUCACGAGGCAAUCCGUAUGCAUAAUACGGGAAACCUCGAGAUUCGCAGACAAUUUAGUGGCAUCGGGCCAAAGGGUCCCUUGACCUUCUGACCGAAUCGGUGUAUGGGGUCAUACGUGACUAUACAACCUAAAUAGUUCUAUACGUUACGCUUUAUGUACAUAGGCAGGUCCGGUACACGUGUUGAAUUUUUAAAUAUCUCCAGCAUUUGUUUUGUUCCCAGUGAACUAGUUUGUAUGUGCUCUGAUUAUUUUGUGUUCACUCGCGUGUAGGUUUGCGAGCGGAAAGAUGAAAUUUUUAGUUUUUAUGUACCCAUUUUCAUCCCGUAGGUAAGAGUAAGUAUUUUCCUUGUUUUCCUUUGUUCACUUGUUUUUUUUUUCUCUAAAAAAAGAAAAAUAUAUUGCGAUCCCUUAUUUAAUGAUAUCAAAUAGAAUAUACCAUUAAAAGUAAAGCAUUAAAAAAUAUUCUUGGAAAAUUUAACCAUGGUGAUAAAUCAUAAUACAACCCUAUAGGUUAAGUAGAUGUUUUAUGUUUAAAGCCAUUGUGUAUAUAUGUAUCUGUUCGUGAAAUCAUAACUAUUAAAUAAUAAUAAAUACCAUUGGAUAUGGAUUACAUAGCGUCAUCUAAUCCCAAACUAAAUAGAACUUACACUACAGGUACUAGACAACUGAUAAACAAAAAUAAAUACUUGCCUUAAAAAACAUUCAUAUUAUACAUAAAACAAUAUAAUAUAUACCUAGUCAUUAAUAUAAAUGUUUAUGUUUGUGCAGGAACAAAAAUACUCGUUGUUCUACAUAAACUUGACGAAUCUCUGUUCAAGAAUUGUUUGACAGUCUUCCAUCUUCGUUUGAUUGACUUAGAGUUUAGUACACCUAUAUAAUUGAAGUAACUCUGCAGUAAUAAGAUACCUUGUUCAUAAAUAAACCAAUUAAUCUGCGAAGAUCAUGCUGGUUAUGCUUGUUUAAGAUGAUCUUAAUAAAGCUAUUAGCGUAUAAUUAAAUAUACAAGAGAAAAAGAAUUUAGAAAUUUUUUUGCUAAAUCAGAAGAAAACAGGAUCUAUGCAAGAGUAACGUAAUAUCAAAAACGUUCAUUUACAGAAUGGGUUUUAAAGUAUUGUUAAUAAAUCAUCAAUAUUUUAAAACUGGGCAUUACAUCAAAAUUUAUUAAAUGCCACAUUUGAAUUUCGGUUUUAGUCAAUGAGGCUUAUCAGAAAUUACAUUAAAUUAAUUAAAACCUAUCAUAAAUAAUUCGUAUCAAUAAUUAUGAUGCAAAAAUGAAUAAAGGAUUUAAUUUUAACGUCGAUGGUAUAUUAUUUAUAAUAUAUCUGUUAAUAAGAAAUACGAUGUGUUUUUUUUUUAUAAUAAUGCAAUAUUAUUAUUAAUUAAUUAUAUUAUUUUGCAAAGAAUAUCAUUUUAUUAUUGAAAAACGGGUUUUUUUAGAUAGAAAAACCUGUGACACUGUGACCUUUCCAUGAUCUCAUGUACUCGCCCUUUUUUAAAGUUCCUAUCCUUCCUAUUCCUAUCAGUGAUAGAAAUUUUAAGAUGUUUGUAGCAACGUUUUUUGUCUCCUCAAAAAUGUAAACAAUGUGUGAAUGUGACAAAAUCUACAAACAAUUUAUGGGUAUACCCUAGUUGGGUUAUGUGCUUAUUUAGUUUACAGUGUACAGUGAAAGCCGUUGUUAAUAUACAAAUAUUAUUUUUACUCAAGGAAGUUAAUUUCUUUGAGUAGUUUUUAAAAACCAUUAGAUGUCUAAGCUUUAGGCUACGAGGCAAGCCACAAUAAGGUUUUGGUUCUAUUUGGGCAUUGAUUGCUGCUUUCUUUGCUAAUCAGACAGCUGUUUCAUUUCCAUGAAUAUCUGAAUGACCAGGGAUCCAUCUCAAGAUAAUGUUAUUUCUGCUACCCAAGUCAUUUAAUAACAUUAUGUAGUUGUUUGUAAGCUUUGACUCUUAAUUUCGUAUGAGUCAAGUGUAAGUAAUGCCGCUUGACUAUCCGAAUAAAUAAAUUUAUUAUUAUUUAUGUAUUUAAAACUUAGAUUCAGUUCUACACAUCUUAUUUAUGGCCAUAGUUUCGGUCUGAAAUAUUGUGGCAUAUUUACUUAAGUUUAAAAACUGUGAACUAUUGGUCUAACACCAUAAACACUUUAUCUCAUAUUUUCUUCUAUUUUGAAUCCAUCUGUAAACCAAACUAGGUCAGACUACAGACUGAGUGAGACGGUAGGUAAUCUUUAUUCCACUUGUAUCUUCUAGAAAAUUUCAAUUUUGUAAUAUUUUUCAAAAUUGCAUUCUGGGAUCAUCUCUGGCGUUCCCAGAAUGGGAUUGCUCAUUGUUAAUUCUUCAAGUGUUUUGAGCGCCUGUGAUUGCCAUGAGUUCUAACAAUGAGAACUAUUUCGAAGCAUACUGUAUUUGGCCUUUUCCUGUAUGAAAAAGGCCAAAAGGGGUAGGGGUGUUAAAUUCAGUAAUGCGUUCAGAGCUGCUCCCAGAGUAGUACUCAUAGUACUUGUAGUUAUCAGGCAUGCUAUUGUUUGUAGCCUGUUUAAUUUAUUGGCAGCUGUCGCCUGCAUUGACUUUUUCCAUCAAAUUACGCAGGUGUUAAAUAUUUAUUUUAAAUUAUAUUAAUUUUCUUAAACAUCUUGUGUUAAAAUGUGUACCUACAUUUAUUAAUAAAAAUCAGACUAAUUACUUUAAAUAUAAUAAAAUAUUAAAAUUGUUAUUAUACCAAAUUUUGUAAUGAAUUAUUCUUGUAAUGUAUAUAAAACACAAAUUUAUAUUUUAAUUGAUUUUAUAAUUAUUUAUUAUCAUGACACUUAAAUAAAAAGUAAUGAAAUUGUAAGAACACGUGGUCUCACUAACUUGUUCACUCGAAUUCGGCCCUGUGGAUAUAAAAGAUUGUUAUUUGGAUGGGGAGGCACUUCUUGUCCAACCGUUAAACAGAGCGGAGCUCCCUGACGAAUCAAGAGUGAACAAGUAUAGUAAAGCACGUGGUCAUUAUAUAAAAUAUAUUACAAUAAUUGUUGAUGGAAGUCCUAAAGAAGCUAUAUUUAAAUAAGUGUUAAUGGAUUAACAGAAGUUGGGUAUUUAUGAUAUAUUAUUUAGUAUAUAUCAAACCCAAAGUAAAAUAGGUAAAUAUACGAUUUAAUAGAAUGAUCUCUAAAAUAAAUGAACUGAGUGAA